Non-coding RNA from Sus scrofa (pig), 2497 nucleotides. Lineage: Eukaryota; Metazoa; Chordata; Mammalia; Artiodactyla; Suidae. The record is from RefSeq and is a predicted model, not a curated record.
GCAGUCCUACCCCCUAAUUACCUCUUGUUCCCUCCCCAUUCCCACCACCACUGCCUGGGUUCAGCCUACACACAACUGAGCUAAGUAAAUACCAGGCUCUUCAUGAUCUAGCCACAGUCACCUCUUCUUGACCUAUCUCUAGCCCUCUCCACUUUGAUACUAUGAUAUUGAUGUAAACGAAAUCAAAUAUAUUUAUACGAUGUUCUCUAAUUUACGCCUCCCCCUGCUCUUCCCUCACCCCCAGAGUCUAUAGCCUGGAAACCAAGUGCAUUGUCUUCUGAGUCUAUGCCUUUACCGUGCAUAUUCCUCUGCCUCCUGGAAUCCACGACCUGCCAUUUGUCCAUUUAGCAAACUCCAUCCAUCUUCAAAGCUCAGCUCAGAGGUCGCCUUCCCAAAGACUCCCCCAGACAGAGCUCAUCACUCCCCCCCUUCCUGUAACACAUGCAUUUCUCAUAUUAAUUUUCAUUGUCACAGUGUGUGUGAUGCAUUUAUGAGUCUUUCUCCCUUUCUAGACCAGGAAUUCUUUGAGGACUGUGUCUUCUUCACAUCUGAAUCCAGCACCUGAUGCGGAGGAGACACUCAGAAACUUUUUCUUGAAUGAAAUGAAGCCUGUGCUUGCUCCAGAAGGUAUAUAUUUUCUCCCCUGAAGUUAUAAAGUUAAUUUGGACCUGGAAGCACAAUGGCAGUGCAUUCACUUUGAAGUUGAAUGGGCAGAAGUAAGCCGGGGAGGUAGUAGAGGAAUUCCAGGAGUCAAAGCUGGAAGUGGGGUAUGUUUGAAGCCAGACAUAAAAGAUGUGAAAUCCCCAUUGUUUAAUUUCGAUACAGGGCCGGAACAAGAGAAUUUAGAGAAUAUGUGUGGACUAUAUUUCUGCUUGUGGAAAUAGUACAGAAUUCAUUUGUCCACCCAGCAAAUAUGUGUUAACCCUAUACUAUGUGCCAGGCACUGAGCCGGGUCUGGGGAUCCAUUGAUGAGCUAAGGUAGGCAUUCUUCCCAUGGGGAAAUGACCUCCUCUCAUCCUUUUUCCCAUCCCGUGCUGUCGUACGAGUAUCUUUUGUAUCAAUGAACAAUGGUGCCCUGAGAUAGUUAUUUUGUUGAGACCAGUAUAAGGCCAUAUCUUGGGAGUAGGGGGUCCUUCCCUGAAGAAAAUUGACAUUCCCAGUGUUCAUCAUCCACGGGAGCUGCUGAAUCCCGAGUCAGAGGAGGAUUUGGAAGGAGCACCUUGGCUAGAAAGUGAGGGAAUUCCUUUCUUCCCGUGAACCCAUGAACAUGGUGGCCAGAAAGCCUGGUGGGAGGUCAGCCUAUGGCAGACUCUCUCAGAAGCCUGUUGAAGAAAGUCUGUGUGAAAGGCCCUCUCCUGGACCUUUAUUUAUUUAUUUAUUUAUUUUUUCUCCUGGACCUUUAAUGCAGUCUUGAUGGACCUGCCUGGUCUCAGCUGGGCUAUGAUGAACUAGAGGAAGGGUCUGUGUCCAGACCAAGGCCAGGGCUGUCACCUGGAGAGUCACGCGCUCUCUCUAUAAGCAGCAUGGGCCUCACAGGGGCCAUUAGUCAGGUCUCUGAGAGCAGCUCGGUGUCCAGGGCUAGAUGUCCAGCCUCCCUUCCCCACAUGAGAAAUCUCCUUCCAUGGUUGUUACUGCUCUGCAUGUGAUGGAGCCAGCUGCCUUCCUUCAGAUCCCUUCCUGUUACUUCGGAUCUAAGUGUUAGUUAUAAGAACGCUGUAUUUAGUUUAGGUUGUAUCUAAAGGCUAUAGAAAGUUUACCCUCCGAACAGCCAACAGGGAGUCUUAAGGCCAUGUUCAUGACUGCCUGACAGGCAAAAAUAAUACACAAGUGAUGUGUGAGAGAUCGGUGCUCUUAAAAGCCUAAAGCUAGUUGCUUUCAAAAGUCAGUUAUUAUGUGAGGAGCCAGGGGAUCACAGGCGAGAAUACUCACCCCAAUGGAACGGUCCUUUGAAGUUAAAACUUUCAACUUGGCUGAGUAUGACAUCCCAUAACCACCCAGUGAAUUUCAUUAUCGCCAAAGCAUUGAGGCUGGCCCUGAAGCUCCUCUCCCACCUCGCAGGUGUGCAGACCUGGCCUCUGGCUGCCAGGCUUGGUGCCCAGGUGAGAGCAGAGAGCAGGGGAGAGAGGGCACCGCCUCCUUUCUUUGUGGUUUGUACCUGUGCGUGUAACAGCCCCAUUACCAGUGGUGUCCCAGACAAAGGUUAUGUUCUUGGUUAAGAUGAUAAAGUUUCGAAGUUAAAGCUUAUUCAGUAUGUUGACUUCUCCUUCCCGCGCUAUUAUGUAACUUUCUAUUUACCGAAUGAUCAAUCACUGUUUGUACUGUUUGAGAUCUCUUUCAAAUUCUCAGAGCCAGCUUUUUUCUCCCUCCAGUGUAAACUAAAGGUCAGGCACAUAUUAAAAAAACCUCAGAAACUGCAGUGCAUUUAUUACUAAGGGACAGGACGAGAACCCUCCUUUCCUUCAGAGAAAAAAAAAAAAAAAAAAAAAAACCACCACUA